GAUGAAGAAACGCAGCGAAAUGCGAUAAGUAAUGUGAAUUGCAGGAUUCAGUGAAUCAUCGAAUCUUUGAACGCACAUUGCGCCCGGUAGUAUUCUGCCGGGCAUGCCUGUUCGAGCGUCAUUUCAACCAUCAAGCCCCAGCGCUUGUGUUGGGGGCCUGCGGCUGCCGCAGCCCCCUAAAAGCAGUGGCGGGCUCGCUAUCACACCGAGUGCAGUAGUUCAUCUUCUCUCCGGUCUUGUGAGGCGGGUUCCGGCCGUGAAACACCCCACUACAUUCAAGGUUGACCUCGGAUCAGGUAGGAAUACCCGCUGAACUUAAGCAUAUCAAUAAGCGGAGGA
This 339-nucleotide unclassified non-coding RNA is filed under the name soil metagenome. RNAcentral describes it as "partial contains 5.8S ribosomal RNA, internal transcribed spacer 2, and large subunit ribosomal RNA". The stretch from base 1 to 121 matches the Rfam family "5.8S ribosomal RNA", at positions 35 to 154 of the family's 154-position model. The record is from RNAcentral.